This 194-nucleotide ribosomal RNA is filed under the name uncultured bacterium. RNAcentral's name for it is "partial 16S ribosomal RNA". It matches the Rfam family "Bacterial small subunit ribosomal RNA", at positions 338 to 524 of the family's 1533-position model. The record is from RNAcentral.
CCUACGGGAGGCAGCAGUGGGGAAUUUUGGACAAUGGGCGCAAGCCUGAUCCAGCCAUGCCGCGUGAGUGAAGAAGGCCUUCGGGUUGUAAAGCUCUUUCGGCGGGGACGAAACGGUUCGUGCUAAUACCACGGACUAAUGACGGUACCCGCAUAAGAAGCACCGGCUAACUACGUGCCAGCAGCCGCGGUAAU